CGAUGCAACGCGAAAAACCUUACCCACCUUUGACAUGUACGGAAUCCUUUAGAGAUAGAGGAGUGCUCGAAAGAGAGCCGUAACACAGGUGCUGCAUGGCUGUCGUCAGCUCGUGUCGUGAGAUGUUGGGUUAAGUCCCGCAACGAGCGCAACCCUUGUCAUUAGUUGCUACAUUCAGUUGGGCACUCUAAUGAGACUGCCGGUGACAAACCGGAGGAAGGUGGGGAUGACGUCAAGUCCUCAUGGCCCUUAUAGGUGGGGCUACACACGUCAUACAAUGGAUGGUACAAAGGGUCGCCAACCCGCGAGGGGGAGCCAAUCCCAUAAAGCCAUUCGUAGUCCGGAUCGCAGUCUGCAACUCGACUGCGUGAAGUCGGAAUCGCUAGUAAUCGUGGAUCAGAAUGUCACGGUGAAUACGUUCCCGGGUCUUGUACACACCGCCCGUCACACCAUGGGAGCGGGUUCUGCCAGAAGUAGUUAGCCUAACCGCAAGGAGGGCGAUUACCACGGCAGGGUUCGUGACUGGGGUGAAGUCGUAACAAGGUAGCCGUAUCGGAAGG
RNAcentral lists this ribosomal RNA (560 nucleotides) under uncultured bacterium. Its description in RNAcentral is "bacterial SSU rRNA". It matches the Rfam family "Bacterial small subunit ribosomal RNA", at positions 952 to 1512 of the family's 1533-position model. The record is from RNAcentral.